ACACAAAAACCUAUUUGUUUUUGCUUUCCGCGCUACCUACAGAGGGGCCCAUACGGCGUUGUUCUGGAUUCCCGUCGUAACUUAAAGGGAAACUUUCACAAUGUCCGGAGCCCUUGAUGUCCUGCAAAUGAAGGAGGAGGAUGUCCUUAAGUUCCUUGCAGCAGGAACCCACUUAGGUGGCACCAAUCUUGACUUCCAGAUGGAACAGUACAUCUGUAAAAGGAAAAGUAAUGGCAUCUAUAUCAUAAAUCUGAAGAGGACCUGGGAGAAGCUUCUGCUGGCAGCUAGUGCUAUUGUUGCCAUUGAAAACCCUGCUGAUGUCAGUGUUAUAUCCUCCAGGAAUACUGGCCAGAGGGCUGUGCUGAAGUUUGCUGCUGCCACUGGAGCCACUCCAAUUGCUGGCCACUUCACUCCUGGAACCUUCACUAACCAGAUCCAGGCAGCCUUCCGGGAGCCAUGGCUUCUUGUGGUUACUGACCCCAGGGCUGACCACCAGCCUCUCACGGAGGCAUCUUAUGUUAACCUACCUACCAUUGCUCUGUGUAACACAGAUUCUCCUAUGCGCUAUGUGGACAUUGCCAUCCCAUGCAACAACAAGGGAGCUCACUCAGUGGGUUUGAUGUGGUAGAUGCUGGCUCGGGAAGUUCUGCGCAUGUGUAGCACGAUUUCCUAUGACCACCCGUGGGAGGUCAUGCCUGAUCUCUACUUCUACAGAGAUCCUGAAGAUAUUGAAAAAGAAGAGCAGGCUGCUGCUGAAAAGGCAGUGACCAAGGAGGAAUUUCAGGGUGAAUGGACUGCUCCAGCUCCUGAGUUCACUGCUACUCAGCCUGAGGUUGCAGACUGGUCUGAAGGUGUACAGGUGCCCUCUGUGCCUAUUCAGCAGUUCCCUACUGAAGACUGGAGCGCUCAGCCUGCCACGGAAGACUGGUCUGCAGCUCCCACUGCUCAGGCCACUGAAUGGGUAGGAGCAACCACUGACUGGUCUUAAGCUGUUCUUGCAUAGGCUCUUAAGCAACAUGGAAAAAUGGUUGAUGGAAAAUAAACAUCAGUUUCUUAAAAAAAAAAAAACCUAUUUGUUUUUACCCCAAUCCAUUUUUACCCCUACUCCCACUGAAUGCAAAUGGAAUGGAUGAAUGGAUGUUUUAUUUCUAUUUUAUUUUAUUUUUAUUUUGUUUCACAUGGAUGUUUAUAGCAGCUUUAUUCAGAAUUGCCAAAACGUGGAAGCAACUGAGAUGUCCUUCAAUAGGUGGGAUAAACAAGCUGUUGUAUAUCCAUAUAAUGCCAUACUAUUCUGUGCUAAAAAGAAAUGAGCUAUCAAGCCACAAAAAGACCUAGAGGAAACUUAACUGCAUAUUACUAAGUGAAAGAAGCCAGUCUGAAAAGGCUACAUAACACAUGAUUCCAAUUAUAUUACAUUCUGAAUAAAACUAUGGAGACAGU
Molecule: RNA transcript, 1440 nt
Organism: Homo sapiens (human)
Lineage: Eukaryota; Metazoa; Chordata; Mammalia; Primates; Hominidae
Gene: RPSAP9
Gene name: ribosomal protein SA pseudogene 9
Exons: 1
Source: RefSeq, marked validated